Molecule: ribosomal RNA, 301 nt
Filed under: uncultured bacterium
Lineage: Bacteria
Description: partial 16S ribosomal RNA
Rfam family: Bacterial small subunit ribosomal RNA
Source: RNAcentral
CAGCCGCCACGGGAAUACGUAGGGUGCAAGCGUUAAUCGGAAUUACUGGGCGUAAAGCGUGCGCAGGCGGCUAUGCAAGACAGAUGUGAAAUCCCCGGGCUCAACCUGGGAACUGCAUUUGUGACUGCAUGGCUAGAGUACGGUAGAGGGGGAUGGAAUUCCGCGUGUAGCAGUGAAAUGCGUAGAUAUGCGGAGGAACACCGAUGGCGAAGGCAAUCCCCUGGACCUGUACUGACGCUCAUGCACGAAAGCGUGGGGAGCAAACAGGAUUAGAUACCCGCGUAGUCCCUGUCUCUUAUAC